Molecule: long non-coding RNA, 111 nt
Organism: Melitaea cinxia (Glanville fritillary)
Lineage: Eukaryota; Metazoa; Arthropoda; Insecta; Lepidoptera; Nymphalidae
Exons: 3
Source: RefSeq, a predicted model, not a curated record
UAUUUCAAUCACAAAUUACAAAAAGAAAACGAGUGUGCUUUAGACUACAGGACAGAAGUUCAACUUCUUUAGCUUCAUCUUACUUAUAUCUCCUUCUCAACUUCCAUUUGC